Centrocercus urophasianus (Greater sage-grouse) is the source of this 1037-nucleotide long non-coding RNA. RefSeq lists it as uncharacterized. The transcript has 6 exons. NCBI's taxonomy places the organism in Eukaryota, Metazoa, Chordata, Aves, Galliformes, Phasianidae. The record is from RefSeq and is a predicted model, not a curated record.
CCUCACUUCUAUGCUAUGUACAGGAGGAAGCAAAUGAUACGAAAGUGGAUAUAAAGAAGCUAUAGCUGAUCUUAUUCUAGGGAGGGGUCUGAUGCCCAAGUUCACACAGGAAGCCAAUGCAAGAGCAGCAGCUUUUCUCCUGGGUCUCACAUUGGCACUUGGACAGCUGAACCCAGCUUCCUGCAUUCUGAGUUCAAGCAGGGCACAGGGACACAUUCAUUCGGCCAAGGGGUAAAAGAAACAGCAUGAAUAACAUGGUGUCUCCAUGAAGAUAAGACCAUUGGCUCUCUAUGGAAAAAAAAUGUUUUUCUCAAAUGCAGGAUAUAGUGACAGAGGAUUGAGUGACAGAGGACAGAGAACAGUGGAACUCCCACCAACAUGGAACGGCUUGUGGCAAAUCUGAAGUCCAAGGGUAUCCUUGGCUGAAGAGACCAUGAAGUGAGGGAGUUAAGAUUCAUACAGCAGCCAGAGCAAGCUCACUACUUGUGGAUGCCUUAUCCCUGUAAGCCUUCAAGAACCAUUAAAACUGAGGAUUAGAAUCUACAGUCAUUGAAUCCUUUAUUCAUAUUACUCUUCAUUUUACAUUUGUGGAGUCCAACAGAAAUCAGUAAAUGUGGGAAUACAAGAAAAACUGUUCAGAGCAGCAGCUGUGGAGCAAGAUAAACAACAUGAAAACCAAGGACACCUCUAAAAUCACGGCUCUGAUUGGAUAAACACCUGCACAAACAGUUGAAGAGUGUUUUGUAGAAUGCUCUACUGACAUGUAAAGGUGGAUGGGAAAGUUGUAGGGUUGAUGGGAAAGCUAGAAAAAGAAAACUUGUAUAUAAGUGAUGUGAGAACUUGUAAUAAACGAUUGGGAUCGUUCACAUUUGAGUCCGUGCAUUAGAUGCUGCAAGUAAAGAUGCCCAUAUAUAAUUAUAACUCCAGUAAAAGAUGUUCACUCUGUAAACACUCAUUCAUUUAGGUAGCAAUUAGUUGAUUUGAUUUUACUCACAGUAUAACUCUAAACCACAGAUAUUGUAGAUUAUUUUCAGAAU